GACGAACGCUGGCGGCGUGCUUAACACAUGCAAGUCGAACGAAGAGCGAUGGAAGCUUGCUUCUAUCAAUCUUAGUGGCGAACGGGUGAGUAACGCGUAAUCAACCUGCCCUUCAGAGGGGGACAACAGUUGGAAACGACUGCUAAUACCGCAUACGAUCUAAUCUCGGCAUCGAGGAUAGAUGAAAGGUGGCCUCUACAUGUAAGCUAUCACUGAAGGAGGGGAUUGCGUCUGAUUAGCUAGUUGGAGGGGUAACGGCCCACCCAUGCGAUGAUCAGUAGCCGGUCUGAGAGGAUGAACGGCCACAUUGGGACUGAGACACGGCCCAGACUCCUACGGGAGGCAGCAGUGGGGAAUCUUCCGCAAUGGACGAAAGUCUGACGGAGCAACGCCGCGUGAGUGAUGACGGCCUUCGGGUUGGAAAGCUCUGUUAAUCGGGACGAAAGGCCUUCUUGCGAAUAGGGAGAAGGAUUGACGGUACCGGAAUAGAAAGCCACGGCUAACUACGUG
RNAcentral lists this ribosomal RNA (510 nucleotides) under uncultured bacterium. Its description in RNAcentral is "partial 16S ribosomal RNA". It matches the Rfam family "Bacterial small subunit ribosomal RNA", at positions 28 to 507 of the family's 1533-position model. The record is from RNAcentral.